RNAcentral lists this ribosomal RNA (487 nucleotides) under uncultured Sphingobacteriales bacterium. RNAcentral's name for it is "bacterial SSU rRNA". It matches the Rfam family "Bacterial small subunit ribosomal RNA", at positions 889 to 1382 of the family's 1533-position model. The record is from RNAcentral. Lineage: Bacteria; Pseudomonadati; Bacteroidota; Sphingobacteriia; Sphingobacteriales.
CAAGAACUACAAAGGAAGUUGACGGGGCCCGCACAAGCGAGGAGCAUGUGGUUUAAUUCGAUGAUACGCGAGGAACCUUACCUGGGCUCGAACGUAAGAUGACUGUAGGUGAAAGCUUACAUCUCUUCGGAGCAUUUUACGAGGUGCUGCAUGGUUGUCGUCAGCUCGUGCCGUGAGGUGUCGGGUUAAGUCCCAUAACGAGCGCAACCCCUACCUUUAGUUGCCAUCAGGUUAAGCUGGGGACUCUAAAGGAACUGCCUACGCAAGUAGUGAGGAAGCGGGGAUGACGUCAAAUCAGCACGGCCCUUACGUCCAGGGCUACACACGUGCUACAAUGGCCGAUACAGAGGGCAGCUACCUGGUGACAGGAUGCAAAUCUCCAAAGUCGGUCUCAGUUCGGAUCGGAGUCUGCAACCCGACUCCGUGAAGUUGGAUUCGCUAGUAAUCGCGCAUCAGCCAUGGCGCGGUGAAUACGUUCCCGGGCCUU